CCCUUAGACGUUCUGGGCCGCACGCGCGCUACACUGACCAGUGCAACAAGCAUCCGUCCUUGGCCGACAGGCCCGGGCAAUCUUUGAACGCUGGUCGUGAUGGGGAUAGACUUUUGCAAUUUUUAGUCUUCAACGAGGAAUUCCUAGUAAACGCAAGUCAUCAACUUGCAUUGAUUACGUCCCUGCCCUUUGUACACACCGCCCGUCGCACCUACCGAUUGAAUGGUCCGGUGAAGCCUCCGGAUUGGCGCGCACCUCGGUGCCGCCGAGAAGUUGGCUAAACCUUACCAUUUAGAGGAAGGUGAAGUCGUAACA
This 315-nucleotide ribosomal RNA is filed under the name uncultured eukaryote. RNAcentral describes it as "partial 18S ribosomal RNA". It matches the Rfam family "Eukaryotic small subunit ribosomal RNA", at positions 1470 to 1796 of the family's 1831-position model. The record is from RNAcentral.